RNAcentral lists this ribosomal RNA (228 nucleotides) under uncultured bacterium. RNAcentral's name for it is "partial 16S ribosomal RNA". It matches the Rfam family "Bacterial small subunit ribosomal RNA", at positions 103 to 334 of the family's 1533-position model. The record is from RNAcentral.
CGGGUGAGUAAUGCUUGGGAAUAUGCCUUGAGGUGGGGGACAACAGUUGGAAACGACUGCUAAUACCGCAUAAUGUCUACGGACCAAAGGAGGGGAUCUUCGGACCUUUCGCCUUUAGACUAGCCCAAGUGAGAUUAGCUAGAUGGUGGGGUAAUGGCCUACCAUGGCGACGAUCUCUAGCUGGUUUGAGAGGAUGAUCAGCCACACUGGGACUGAGACACGGCCCAG